UGGGGAAUUUUGGACAAUGGGGGAAACCCUGAUCCAGCCAUCCCGCGUGUGCGAUGAAGGCCUUCGGGUUGUAAAGCACUUUUGGCAGGAAAGAAACGUCGCGGGUUAAUACCCCGCGAAACUGACGGUACCUGCAGAAUAAGCACCGGCUAGCUACGUGCCAGCAGCCGCGGUAAUACGUAGGGUGCAAGCGUUAAUCGGAAUUACUGGGCGUAAAGCGUGCGCAGGCGGUUCGGAAAGAAAGAUGUGAAAUCCCCAGAGCUUAACUUUGGAACUGCAUUUUUAACUAACCGGGCUAGAGUGUGUCAGAGGGAGGUGGAAUUCCGCGUGUAGCAGUGAAAUGCGUAGAUAUGCGGAGGAACACCGAUGGCGAAGGCAGCCUCCUGGGAUAACACUGACGCUCAUGCACGAAAGCGUGGGGAGCAAACAGGAUU
This 434-nucleotide ribosomal RNA is filed under the name uncultured bacterium. RNAcentral describes it as "partial 16S ribosomal RNA". It matches the Rfam family "Bacterial small subunit ribosomal RNA", at positions 355 to 779 of the family's 1533-position model. The record is from RNAcentral.